Molecule: ribosomal RNA, 1165 nt
Filed under: Nosema sp.
Lineage: Eukaryota; Fungi; Microsporidia; Nosematidae
Description: bacterial SSU rRNA
Rfam family: Microsporidia small subunit ribosomal RNA
Source: RNAcentral
GUAGACGCUAUACUCUAAGAUUAACCCAUGCAUGUUUAUUGAAUAUAAAGAAAAGACGAACAGCUCAGUAACUCUUAUUUAAUUUGAUGUAUUAGGAUUCUAACUAUGUUAAAUUAUAGGUAACAAUAAUACAAUAAGAAUAAGAUCUAUCAGUUAGUUGUUAAGGUAAUGGCUUAACAAGACUAUGACGGAUAACGGUAUUACUUUGUAAUAUUCCGGAGAAGGAGCCUGAGAGAUUGCUACUAAGUCUAAGGAUUGCAGCAGGGGCGAAACUUGACCUAUGAUAUUAUAUUGAGGCAGUUAUGAGUAGUAUUUUAUGAUUAUUGUAGUAUUGUAAGUACAUAUUACAAGAUAAAUCGGAGGGCAAAUCGAGUGCCAGCAGCCGCGGUAAUACUUGUUCCGAUAGUGUGUAUGAUGAUUGAUGCAGUUAAAAAGUCUGUAGUUUAUUUUAUAAUAAGCAUUGUAAGGUAUACUGUAUGGUUAGGAGAGAGAUGAAAUGUGAUAACCCUAACUGGAUGAACAGAAGCGAAAGCUGUAUACUUAAAUGUAUUAUUAGAACAAGGACGUAAGCUAGAGGAUCGAAGAUGAUUAGAUACCAUUGUAGUUCUAGCAGUAAACUAUGUUGAAUCAUAGAUAUAUUUUGAUAUAUAUUUAUGUAGAGAAAUUAAGAUUAUAUUGACUCUGGGGAUAGUAUGAUCGCAAGAUUGAAAAUUAAAGAAAUUGACGGAAGAAUACCACAAGGAGUGGAUUGUGCGGCUUAAUUUGACUCAACGCGGGGUAAUUUACCAGGUAUAACAUGAUAUAAUAUUUUAUCAUGAUAGUGGUGCAUGGCCGUUUCCAAUGGAUGCUGUGAAGUAAUGAUUAAUUUCAACAAGAUGUGAGACCCUCAUUUAGACAGAUGUAGUGAUACAUAUGAAGGAGAGGAUUAAAACAGGUCCGUUAUGCCCUAAGAUAAUCUGGGUUGCACGCGCAAUACAAUAAUAUUUGAUAUUAUAAGGGAUAAUAUAAUGUAAGAUAUAUUUGAACAUGGAAUUGCUAGUAAAUUUUAUUUAAUAAGUAGAAUUGAAUGAGUCCCUGUUCUUUGUACACACCGCCCGUCGCUAUCUAAGAUGGUAUUAUCUAUGAACAAAUUUAUAAAGUGAAUAGAUAGUACUAGAUCUGAUAU